AGCGGCGAGCGAACGGGGAGCAGCCCAGAGCCUGAAUCAGUGUGUGUGUUAGUGGAAGCGUCUGGAAAGGCGCGCGAUACAGGGUGACAGCCCCGUACACAAAAAUGCACAUGCUGUGAGCUCGAUGAGUAGGGCGGGACACGUGGUAUCCUGUCUGAAUAUGGGGGGACCAUCCUCCAAGGCUAAAUACUCCUGACUGACCGAUAGUGAACCAGUACCGUGAGGGAAAGGCGAAAAGAACCCCGGCGAGGGGAGUGAAAAAGAACCUGAAACCGUGUACGUACAAGCAGUGGGAGCACGCUUAGGCGUGUGACUGCGUACCUUUUGUAUAAUGGGUCAGCGACUUAUAUUCUGUAGCAAGGUUAACCGAAUAGGGGAGCCGAAGGGAAACCGAGUCUUAACUGGGCGUUAAGUUGCAGGGUAUAGACCCGAAACCCGGUGAUCUAGCCAUGGGCAGGUUGAAGGUUGGGUAACACUAACUGGAGGACCGAACCGACUAAUGUUGAAAAAUUAGCGGAUGACUUGUGGCUGGGGGUGAAAGGCCAAUCAAACCGGGAGAUAGCUGGUUCUCCCCGAAAGCUAUUUAGGUAGCGCCUCGUGAAUUCAUCUCCGGGGGUAGAGCACUGUUUCGGCAAGGGGGUCAUCCCGACUUACCAACCCGAUGCAAACUGCGAAUACCGGAGAAUGUUAUCACGGGAGACACACGGCGGGUGCUAACGUCCGUCGUGAAGAGGGAAACAACCCAGACCGCCAGCUAAGGUCCCAAAGUCAUGGUUAAGUGGGAAACGAUGUGGGAAGGCCCAGACAGCCAGGAUGUUGGCUUAGAAGCAGCCAUCAUUUAAAGAAAGCGUAAUAGCUCACUGGUCGAGUCGGCCUGCGCGGAAGAUGUAACGGGGCUAAACCAUGCACCGAAGCUGCGGCAGCGACACUAUGUGUUGUUGGGUAGGGGAGCGUUCUGUAAGCCUGUGAAGGUGUGCUGUGAGGCAUGCUGGAGGUAUCAGAAGUGCGAAUGCUGACAUAAGUAACGAUAAAGCGGGUGAAAAGCCCGCUCGCCGGAAGACCAAGGGUUCCUGUCCAACGUUAAUCGGGGCAG
RNAcentral lists this ribosomal RNA (1093 nucleotides) under Escherichia coli. RNAcentral describes it as "partial 23S ribosomal RNA". It matches the Rfam family "Bacterial large subunit ribosomal RNA", at positions 245 to 1377 of the family's 2925-position model. Lineage: Bacteria; Pseudomonadati; Pseudomonadota; Gammaproteobacteria; Enterobacterales; Enterobacteriaceae. The record is from RNAcentral.